AGAGUUUGAUCCUGGCUCAGAAUGAACGUUGGCGGCGUGGAUUAGGCAUGCAAGUCGAGCGGAAAGGCCCGCAAGGGCACUCGAGCGGCGUAAGGGACAGUAAUGUGUAGGUACGUACCCCUGGGUCUAGGAUAGCUGCGGGAAACUGCAAUUAAUACUAGAUGACGUCUCCGGACCAAAGGUGUGAUUCCACCCAGGGAGCGGCCUACAUCCUAUUAGCUAGUUGGUGAGGUGACGGCUCACCAAGGCGAAGAUGGGUAGCAGGUGUGAGAGCACGACCUGCGUCACUGGGACUGAGACACUGCCCAGACACCUACGGGUGGCUGCAGUCGAGAAUCUUCGGCAAUGGGCGAAAGCCUGACCGAGCGACGCCGCGUGCGGGAUGAAGGCCUUCGGGUUGUAAACCGCUGUCGGAGGGGAUGAAAUGCCGGUGGGUACUCCCAUCGGCUUGACUGAUCCUCGGAGGAAGGGUGGGCUAAGUUCGUGCCAGCAGCCGCGGUAAGACGUACCACCCAAACGUUAUUCGGAAUCACUGGGCUUAAAGAGUCCGUAGGCGGCUCGGUAAGUUGGAUGUGAAAUACCUCGGCUCAACCGAGGAACUGCAUUCAAAACUACCGAGCUUGAGAGAGACAGAGGUAAGCGGAACUGAUGGUGGAGCGGUGAAAUGCGUUGAUAUCAUCAGGAACACCGGUGGCGAAAGCGGCUUACUGGGUCUCUUCUGACGCUGAGGGACGAAAGCUAGGGGAGCGAACGGGAUUAGAUACCCUGGUAGU
RNAcentral lists this ribosomal RNA (773 nucleotides) under uncultured bacterium. RNAcentral describes it as "bacterial SSU rRNA". It matches the Rfam family "Bacterial small subunit ribosomal RNA", at positions 8 to 794 of the family's 1533-position model. The record is from RNAcentral.